UAAAGUUGUUGCAGUUAAGAAGCUCGUAGUUGAAUUUCGGGAUCAAUAUGUUGGUCGUGCCUUGGUACGUACUAAUUUAUUGGUUUCUUCCUUCUGACAAACCAUGAUGUCAUUAAUUUGGUGUCAUGGGGAAUCAGGACUGUUACUUUGAAAAAAUUAGAGUGUUUAAAGCAGGCUCACGCUUGAAUACAUUAGCAUGGAAUAAUGAAAUAGNACGUUUGAUUCUAUUUUGUUGGUUUCUAGGAUUGACGUAAUGAUUAAUAGGG
This 266-nucleotide ribosomal RNA is filed under the name uncultured Glomus. RNAcentral describes it as "partial small subunit ribosomal RNA". It matches the Rfam family "Eukaryotic small subunit ribosomal RNA", at positions 605 to 877 of the family's 1831-position model. The record is from RNAcentral. Lineage: Eukaryota; Fungi; Glomeromycota; Glomeromycetes; Glomerales; Glomeraceae.